AUGGUUGAGAAGCAUGGUCUACAGAAUAAUGUAUUUAUCACACAAAUAUAUGAGACCCGGAAGAAAUGGGCUAAGCCUUACUUCAUGGAUGUUUUUUGUGCCAUGACCAGCACGCAACGGAGUGAAAGUGCAAACCAUUUGCUGAAAGGAUAUGUGCCACCGGGAUCCCCGAUGCACCUGUUCGUUAGGCAAUAUGAGAAGAUGCAAUUUGACCGAGAUUCAGAGGAGAGCUAUCAAGAGAACAAAACCAAACUGGUAAGAAAUCGAAGUUUUGUGAGAUGUCCUUUGUCAAUCAGGUUACGUUGA
RNAcentral lists this ribosomal RNA (306 nucleotides) under Triticum aestivum (bread wheat). Its description in RNAcentral is "partial small subunit ribosomal RNA". The record is from RNAcentral. Lineage: Eukaryota; Viridiplantae; Streptophyta; Magnoliopsida; Poales; Poaceae.